UGAACGCCAAAUACCUCAUAAAUCACUAGAAAAAAAAACUAAAAUUCAAAGCGAAAUGGAUCAACAGUUACCACCGACGAACUUCCCGGUAGAUUUUCCGGUGUAUCGCCGGAAUUCAAGCUUCAGUCGUCUAAUUCCCUGUUUAACUGAAAAAUGGGGAGAUUUACCACUAAAAGUCGACGAUUCCGAAGAUAUGGUAAUUUACGGUCUAUUAAAAGACGCUCUAAGCGUCGGAUGGUCGCCGUUUAAUUUCACCGCCGGCGAAGUAAAAUCGGAGCCGAGAGAAGAAAUUGAAUCGUCGCCUGAAUUUUCACCUUCUCCGGCGGAGACCACGGCAGCUCCGGCGGCUGAAACACCGAAAGGAAGACAUUAUAGAGGCGUUAGACAGCGUCCGUGGGGGAAAUUUGCGGCGGAGAUUAGAGAUCCGGCGAAGAACGGAGCUAGGGUUUGGCUUGGAACGUACGAAACAGCUGAAGAAGCUGCAAUUGCUUAUGAUAAAGCUGCUUAUAGAAUGAGAGGAUCAAAAGCACAUUUGAAUUUCCCGCACCGGAUCGGUUUGAAUGAACCGGAACCGGUUCGAGUUACGGCGAAAAGGCGAGCAUCGCCGGAACCGGCAAGCUCGUCGGGAAACGGUUCCAUGAAACGGAGAAGAAAAGCCGUUCAGAAAUGUGAUGGAGAAAUGGCGAGUAGAUCAAGUGUCAUGCAAGUUGGAUGUCAAAUUGAACAAUUGACAGGUGUCCAUCAACUAUUGGUCAUUUAAAAAGCCGAAUAUUUCUCCGAACGCAAAAUACUAUAUGAUUUUUCCAAAUUUAUUGUAAAUACGUAAUACUCUAUGAUAACGGAGAAAAUAGAAAGUUGAAUUGGAAAAAUAUUGUGAUAGGGUUAAUCCAA
Molecule: unclassified non-coding RNA, 891 nt
Filed under: Hevea brasiliensis (rubber tree)
Lineage: Eukaryota; Viridiplantae; Streptophyta; Magnoliopsida; Malpighiales; Euphorbiaceae
Source: RNAcentral